This 433-nucleotide ribosomal RNA is filed under the name uncultured bacterium. RNAcentral's name for it is "bacterial SSU rRNA". It matches the Rfam family "Bacterial small subunit ribosomal RNA", at positions 29 to 507 of the family's 1533-position model. The record is from RNAcentral.
AACGAACGCUGGCGGCAUGCCUAAUACAUGCAAGUCGAACGAACACUUCGGUGUUAGUGGCGCACGGGUGCGUAACGCGUGGGAAUCUGCCCUUGGGUUCGGAAUAACAGUUAGAAAUGACUGCUAAUACCGGAUGAUGACGUAAGUCCAAAGAUUUAUCGCCCAGGGAUGAACCCGCGUAAGAUUAGCUAGUUGGUGAGGUAAAGGCUCACCAAGGCUACGAUCUUUAGCUGGUCUGAGAGGAUGAUCAGCCACACUGGGACUGAGACACGGCCCAGACUCCUACGGGAGGCAGCAGUAGGGAAUAUUGGACAAUGGGGGCAACCCUGAUCCAGCAAUGCCGCGUGAGUGAUGAAGGCCUUAGGGUUGUAAAGCUCUUUUACCCGGGAUGAUAAUGACAGUACCGGGAGAAUAAGCUCCGGCUAACUCCGUG